Long non-coding RNA from Dendronephthya gigantea, 1305 nucleotides. RefSeq lists it as uncharacterized. The record is from RefSeq and is a predicted model, not a curated record. NCBI's taxonomy places the organism in Eukaryota, Metazoa, Cnidaria, Anthozoa, Malacalcyonacea, Nephtheidae. The transcript is spliced from 4 exons.
AAGCAAAUUUUUACUUAAUUUUUUUAUUCUCUUGUUUACGAAGAUGAAUAUCUUUUUUCUUAAAUAUUUUCUGGUCCGAUAGAAGUGAUUCUUUCGACGGCUAAAGUUUUAAAACGAACAGUGCCAGUUUAGAAGCACAUACAAUAAAGCAGUGGUUGAAAUUUUACCCAGGGACAGGGUUGCGCUAACCUAGCUUUGAACAACCGGCCCCAGAUUAUGAAAACAUAUAAACGCAACAUGUCUUCGUGAGUGACCAGUGAACUGAAUAUAACUGAGUUAUUUUACUUAUUUAUUACAUUUCACUGGUCAUUGGUCACCAGUCACCACCAAGGCAGAUAAAACCAGGAACAACGGAACGGGGAACACCGGAACAGCGAGGAUCCAAAACAGAACAGCAAAAACAUUGUUUUAAAUAUUGACAAAAAAUAUCGGGUUGAUAGCUAUGAUGCUGUACAAUGAAACUGUUAUUCAAAUAAUAUUGCCAAGAAAUGUGUCUGACCCUCUCUGUUCUUAUGCAACAGCAUUCUCUAGCUCGUCGCUACAAUUACUUAUUGUUUUUAUAUUAUCAAUUCCAGGUUCGCAUUGCAUAGCAAAAGACGUCAUUUGUACAAAACUAUUAAGGUAAGUCAAGGUAUUUGCUGUGAGGCAAGCAUUACAGCAGACAUACACUGUAUUCACGACUUUACUAUUUUGCUAAAACCCAAGUGUAAAAAAUAUUAACGGGUAUGAUAAAGAGUCUGUUAUUAGAGCUUCGCAAUAAAGCAGAGCAACCGAUUUGAAAAGUCGUAUACGAGUGCAAAAGGUAAUAUUCAUAAUCAUUGUUUUACAGUAUUAUAGCUACUGUAUGUUCUUUUUUCCUAGCAUCACAGAAGAUUUUUUGCCCACUAUAAAAAAGUUGUUUUUGUGGUUUUGUGUUUCGCAAUGCUGUUUCGGUAACAUCAUUUUUGUUUCAGCUUCCGCUGUUCCGUGUUUCCGUCUUCCGCUGUUCCUGGACCUAACACCCGUUGAGCAAUGUAACAAAAUGAGAUUGUCGAAUAUGUCAACCGUUACGAUGUUUUUCAAUACUGAAAUUGAAUUUCUGCAACUGAAAAUCUGAAAUCACCUGGUGAAUUAUGGCUUAUAUAUCAUUUUUCAACUCAUAGUGAGAAUAAAGAAUGGAUGGGGAUAUAUAAUUAAUGGUAACCAUUACGUGCAAGCCAACUAGCUGGAGGACCAUGGUCCAACGUGUCAUCUUGUAGAUCCUAAAGCUCAAUGCUAUACUUUCUGGGCCAUCGUUCUUUGAUUUCUCAAUAAAGAUUUGUCCAA